This 2815-nucleotide ribosomal RNA is filed under the name Xanthomonas arboricola. Its description in RNAcentral is "bacterial LSU rRNA". It matches the Rfam family "Bacterial large subunit ribosomal RNA". Lineage: Bacteria; Pseudomonadati; Pseudomonadota; Gammaproteobacteria; Lysobacterales; Lysobacteraceae. The record is from RNAcentral.
AUAAGCGCACACGGUGGAUGCCUAGGCGGUCAGAGGCGAUGAAGGACGUGGUAGCCUGCGAAAAGUGUCGGGGAGCUGGCAACAAGCUUUGAUCCGGCAAUAUCCGAAUGGGGAAACCCACUGCUUCGGCAGUAUCCUGCAGUGAAUUCAUAGCUGCUGGAAGCGAACCCGGUGAACUGAAAUAUCUAAGUAACCGGAGGAAAAGAAAUCAACCGAGAUUCCCUAAGUAGUGACGAGCGAACGGGGAACAGCCCUUAAGCUGGAAUGGCUUUAGAAAAACAAUCUGGAAAGAUUGGCCAUAGAAGGUGAUAGCCCUGUAUUUAAAAGGGCCACUCCAGUGAAGACGAGUAGGGCGGGGCACGUGAAACCCUGUCUGAAUAUGGGGGGACCAUCCUCCAAGGCUAAAUACUCCUGACCGACCGAUAGUGAACCAGUACCGUGAGGGAAAGGCGAAAAGAACCCCGGAGAGGGGAGUGAAAUAGAUCCUGAAACCGUGUGCGUACAAGCAGUAGGAGCUCGCAAGAGUGACUGCGUACCUUUUGUAUAAUGGGUCAGCGACUUACUGUUCGUGGCAAGCUUAACCGUAUAGGGGAGGCGAAGGGAAACCGAGUCUGAUAAGGGCGCAUAGUCGCGGGCAGUAGACCCGAAACCGGGUGAUCUAGUCAUGGCCAGGGUGAAGGUGCCGUAACAGGUACUGGAGGCCCGACCCCACGUCUGUUGCAAAAGACGGGGAUGAGCUGUGAUUAGGAGUGAAAAGCUAAUCGAACCCGGAGAUAGCUGGUUCUCCUCGAAAGCUAUUUAGGUAGCGCCUCGGACGAAUACUACUGGGGGUAGAGCACUGUUAUGGCUAGGGGGNNNNNNNNNNNNNNNNNGCUAACGUCCGUCGUGAAAAGGGAAACAACCCAGACCCACAGCUAAGGUCCCAAAUUCACUGCUAAGUGGAAAACGAUGUGGAAAGGCACAGACAGCCAGGAGGUUGGCUUAGAAGCAGCCACCCUUUAAAGAAAGCGUAAUAGCUCACUGGUCGAGUCGGUCUGCGCGGAAGAUUUAACGGGGCUAAGCAGUGAACCGAAGCUUGGGGUGCAUAAAACUUGUUUUAUGCGCGGUAGAGGAGCGUUCCGUAAGCCUGCGAAGGUGGAUUGAGAAGUCUGCUGGAGGUAUCGGAAGUGCGAAUGCUGACAUGAGUAACGAUAAUGCGGGUGAAAAGCCCGCACGCCGAAAGCCCAAGGUUUCCUUGCGCAACGUUAAUCGACGCAGGGUUAGUCGGUCCCUAAGGCGAGGGCGAAAGCCGUAGUCGAUGGGAAGCAGGUUAAUAUUCCUGCACCUCGCGUGAGUGCGAUGGAGGGACGGAGAAGGUUAGGUGUACCGGGCGUUGGUUGUCCCGGGGAAAGGCGGUAGGUUUGAAUCUUUGGCAAAUCCGGGAUUCUUUAAGACCGAGCACCGAGACGAGCCUUUAUGGCGAAGUCACUGAUACCACGCUUCCAGGAAAAGCUCCUAAGCUUCAGCUCACGAAGACCGUACCGUAAACCGACACAGGUGGGUAGGAUGAGAAUUCUCAGGCGCUUGAGAGAACUCGGGUGAAGGAACUAGGCAACAUGGCACCGUAACUUCGGGAGAAGGUGCACCCUUUUUGGUGGCUCAUGCGAGCUAUAGCUGAAGAGGGUCGCAGAAACCAGGCCGCUGCGACUGUUUAUCAAAAACACAGCACUCUGCAAACACGAAAGUGGACGUAUAGGGUGUGACGCCUGCCCGGUGCUGGAAGGUUAAUUGAUGGGGUCAGCCGCAAGGCGAAGCUCUUGAUCGAAGCCCCAGUAAACGGCGGCCGUAACUAUAACGGUCCUAAGGUAGCGAAAUUCCUUGUCGGGUAAGUUCCGACCUGCACGAAUGGCGUAACGACAGCGGCGCUGUCUCCACCCGAGACUCAGUGAAAUUGAAAUCGCUGUGAAGAUGCAGCGUUCCCGUGGCAAGACGGAAAGACCCCGUGAACCUUUACUAUAGCUUUACACUGAACGUUGAGUUCGUCUGUGUAGGAUAGGGGGGAGGCUAUGAAACUGUGGCGCUAGCUGCAGUGGAGCCAUCCUUGAAAUACCACCCUGUCGUGCUUGACGUUCUAACCUAGAUCCGUUAUCCGGAUCAGGGACCGUGUAUGGUGGGUAGUUUGACUGGGGCGGUCUCCUCCUAAAGAGUAACGGAGGAGCACGAAGGUACGCUCAGCGCGGUCGGACAUCGCGCACUGUGUGCAAAGGCAUAAGCGUGCUUGACUGCAAGAUCGACGGAUCAAGCAGGUACGAAAGUAGGUCUUAGUGAUCCGGUGGUUCUGUAUGGAAGGGCCAUCGCUCAACGGAUAAAAGGUACUCCGGGGAUAACAGGCUGAUACCGCCCAAGAGUUCAUAUCGACGGCGGUGUUUGGCACCUCGAUGUCGGCUCAUCACAUCCUGGGGCUGUAGUCGGUCCCAAGGGUAUGGCUGUUCGCCAUUUAAAGUGGUACGCGAGCUGGGUUCAGAACGUCGUGAGACAGUUCGGUCCCUAUCUGCCAUGGGCGUUGGAAGUUUGAGAGGGGCUGCUCCUAGUACGAGAGGACCGGAGUGGACGAACCUCUGGUGUUCCGGUUGUCACGCCAGUGGCAUUGCCGGGUAGCUAUGUUCGGAAGCGAUAACCGCUGAAAGCAUCUAAGCGGGAAGCGCGCCUCAAGAUGAGACUUCCCGGGGCACAAGCCCCCUAAAGGAACCAUAUAGACUAUGUGGUUGAUAGGUCAGGUGUGUAAGUACAGCAAUGUAUUGAGCUAACUGAUACUAAUGAUCCGUGCGGCUUGACC